UAUGCGUUCAACUAUGAUCGUGGAUUGGACAAUGGUAAGGAGUCUACCUCCCAAAGAGAUCCUGAAGACAACAACUCACCAAGGAAUUCGAAGGCAGGAACGUCAGCUGUAGCGGGUAAGAAGAGUAAAAAACGUUUUUUCAUCGCUCAAGUUGCUCCACAACAGCCAAUUAUGAACUCUGAU
Oryctolagus cuniculus (rabbit) is the source of this 183-nucleotide non-coding RNA. The record is from RefSeq and is a predicted model, not a curated record. Lineage: Eukaryota; Metazoa; Chordata; Mammalia; Lagomorpha; Leporidae.